UACGGAGGGUGCAAGCGUUAUCCGGAUUUAUUGGGUUUAAAGGGUGCGCAGGCGGGGCCUUAAGUCAGUGGUGAAAUCCCUUCGCUUAACGAAGGAACUGCCAUUGAUACUGAGGUUCUUGAAUCUAGUUGACGUUAGUGGAAUGUGUCAUGUAGCGGUGAAAUGCUUAGAUAUGACACAGAACACCGAUCGCGAAGGCAGCUAACGAAGCUAGUAUUGACGCUCAGGCACGACAGCAUGGGGAGCAAACAGG
This 253-nucleotide ribosomal RNA is filed under the name uncultured bacterium. Its description in RNAcentral is "partial 16S ribosomal RNA". It matches the Rfam family "Bacterial small subunit ribosomal RNA", at positions 524 to 776 of the family's 1533-position model. The record is from RNAcentral.